CCCAGAGAAACAUUUUGUUUUGCUUUAUCAUUUCCAUCAUGUAGAAACACAACAGCUGCUGUUGCAGACAAAUGGCUUAUGAAAUUGAUGCAAACGGGGAUCCACAUCUGGUCAGACCAUCUGAGAUCACUUGGAGCUAUCUCUAUAAGGCCUCACAGCUGAUGUCAGGGAAAAAACCCCCAGAGCUCACUAUCUGGAUCAUCUCAAGGCAAAGAUCUGAUCGAGGCGACGAAAACAUUUUUGCUGUGCUGAGGGUACCCAAGAGUUCCCUCCAUUAUUGUUAAAUGGAAGAGGUUUGGGAAUACUGUGGGAAGCAGUGCUGUCUGGUCUGUUGAAACCAAGACUAAAUGCUUUAACCCUGAUUCUCUGCAUUGUCUUUAGAGGGAGACAGGCAAUGCCUAACAUCAUCCCCACGGGGAUUCUGCUGGGGUGUUUUUCACUGGCUCAAAUGAACGUGUGUUCCAGAGGACUCAGGCUGGGGUGACAGCUUACCUUCCAACGAGACAAUGACCCUGAAUCCACAGUAAAUACAGCGCACAAGUGGCUUGGGAACCACUCUGUGAAUGUGCUCGAGUGACUCAGCCAGAUCCUUGACUUGAACCCAAUUGGCAAUCUCCAGUGGGCCCUGAAAAUGGCCAUCCAGCGGGGGUCUCCAGGAAUAUCAAGUGAAGCUUGUGAUGGAAUACACAAGAAGACUGGAGGCUGCCAAAAUUAGUCAAGAGUCUGACUACUUAUGUCGGUGCAACAUCUUGGUUUCUAUGUAAAAAGUCACAUUCUAUUUUCAUAUAUGAUUACCACUCACAAAAUGCAUUCAUAAUAUGGUGUUUGUACUUCCUCAACCUUAUCUUGAAUCUUGCACCUGGACACCAGCAUCAUAACUCUUUAUGACAUGUCUCAUAUCUAAUUUCUGUUGUUUCUUGGCGGUGCCAGUCUUUACCUUUCCAUGUUUUCUAAUGAAAGGUCUCAGUUCCUGGACAGAACCAACGCUAAACUGCUGUUGGCCUAAAUCCUAACAUCACAUUUUUUUUCCCUGUAUGACGCUUAUCGGUUCA
This 1052-nucleotide long non-coding RNA is filed under the name Takifugu rubripes (torafugu). RNAcentral's name for it is "lncRNA (ENSTRUG00000027779.1)". The record is from RNAcentral. Lineage: Eukaryota; Metazoa; Chordata; Actinopteri; Tetraodontiformes; Tetraodontidae.